UGUUUACUGUUUAUUGGAUAUGUCACUUCUGUUGUAUAGGAAAUACGUAACACUGCGAGAAGAGAAAGUUACAUAUACUAGGCUGAGCUACUCAAGGUUUCCUGCAAUUUUGUCUUCAAAGUCAUCGACCAAUAGGUGUAUAUCUUGUUGACGAUAUAACUGUUUUGCCCAAAGCAUUAGAACAAUUAUGGCAUCGUCUGAGGGAGACAUACCUCCGGACAUUCUAUCAACACACGAUGAAUUUCGACUGUCUGAUAUUGAAAGUUCUGAGGGAGACAUAAAACCAAAGCCGGUCGAUAUGACUGAUGGCGAUGAUGAUUUCCCACCAUUUGAUGUUGUGCGU
This is a long non-coding RNA of Mizuhopecten yessoensis (Yesso scallop), 343 nucleotides long. RefSeq lists it as uncharacterized. NCBI's taxonomy places the organism in Eukaryota, Metazoa, Mollusca, Bivalvia, Pectinida, Pectinidae. The transcript is spliced from 4 exons. The record is from RefSeq and is a predicted model, not a curated record.